GCAGUUGUGGCCGAGUGGUUAAGGCGAUGGACUAAAAAUCCAUUGGGGUCUCCCCGCACAGGUUGGAAUCCUGUCGACUGCG
This 82-nucleotide transfer RNA is filed under the name Ixodes scapularis (black-legged tick). Its description in RNAcentral is "tRNA-Phe". It matches the Rfam family "tRNA". Rfam says of the family: Transfer RNA (tRNA) molecules are approximately 80 nucleotides in length. Their secondary structure includes four short double-helical elements and three loops (D, anti-codon, and T loops). The record is from RNAcentral. Lineage: Eukaryota; Metazoa; Arthropoda; Arachnida; Ixodida; Ixodidae.